RNAcentral lists this ribosomal RNA (220 nucleotides) under uncultured bacterium. Its description in RNAcentral is "partial 16S ribosomal RNA". It matches the Rfam family "Bacterial small subunit ribosomal RNA", at positions 57 to 305 of the family's 1533-position model. The record is from RNAcentral.
GCAAGUCGAGCGCCCACUUCGGUGGGAGCGGCAGACGGGUGAGUAACACGUGGGAAUCUACCUAUCGGUGCGGAACAACAGUUAGAAAUGACUGCUAAUACCGCAUACGUCCUCAGGGAGAAAGAUUUAUCGCCGAUAGAUGAGCCCGCGUUUGAUUAGCUAGUUGGUGAGGUAAUGGCUCACCAAGGCGACGAUCAAUAGCUGGUCUGAGAGGAUGAUC